RNAcentral lists this ribosomal RNA (330 nucleotides) under uncultured bacterium. RNAcentral describes it as "bacterial SSU rRNA". It matches the Rfam family "Bacterial small subunit ribosomal RNA", at positions 568 to 898 of the family's 1533-position model. The record is from RNAcentral.
UCCGUAGGCGGUGCGGCAAGUCGGAAGUGAAAUCUCACGGCUUAACUGUGAGGCUGCUUCCGAAACUGCCGUGCUCGAGUGCGGGAGAGGCGAGUGGAAUUGCAGGUGUAGCGGUGAAAUGCGUAGAUAUCUGCAGGAACACCCGUGGCGAAGGCGGCUCGCUGGACCGCAACUGACGCUGAGGGACGAAAGCUAGGGGAGCAAACAGGAUUAGAUACCCUGGUAGUCCUAGCCCUAAACCAUCAGGACUUGGCGUGUUCCGUUUACGCGGAACGUGCCGGAGCUAACGCGGUAAGUCCUGCGCCUGGGGAGUACGGUCGCAAGGCUGAA